RNAcentral lists this ribosomal RNA (452 nucleotides) under uncultured bacterium. Its description in RNAcentral is "bacterial SSU rRNA". It matches the Rfam family "Bacterial small subunit ribosomal RNA", at positions 340 to 784 of the family's 1533-position model. The record is from RNAcentral.
UACGGGAGGCAGCAGUGGGGAAUAUUGCACAAUGGGCGCAAGCCUGAUGCAGCCAUGCCGCGUGUAUGAAGAAGGCCUUCGGGUUGUAAAGUACUUUCAGUCGUGAGGAAGGUGUUAAGGUUAAUAACCUUAGCAAUUGACGUUAGCGACAGAAGAAGCACCGGCUAACUCCGUGCCAGCAGCCGCGGUAAUACGGAGGGUGCGAGCGUUAAUCGGAAUUACUGGGCGUAAAGGGCACGCAGGCGGUUAAUUAAGUUGGAUGUGAAAUCCCCGGGCUUAACCUGGGAAUGGCAUUCAAGACUGGUUAGCUAGAGUCUUGUAGAGGGGGUAGAAUUCCAUGUGUAGCGGUGAAAUGCGUAGAGAUGUGGAGGAAUACCGGUGGCAAAGGCGGCCCCUGGGACAAAGACUGACGCUCAUGUGCGAAAGCGUGGGGAGCAAACAGGGAUUAGAUA